CACAGGGACGUAGUGUGUGUAUGUGUGUGUGUUCCUACAUCACCACAGGGUCUCUACACGGCUGUAGUGAGUGGUGUGUGUGUGGCUGUAGUGAGUGUGUGUGUUCCUACGUCACCACAGGGUCUCUAUGUGGCUGUAGUGUGUGUG
Long non-coding RNA from Tachysurus fulvidraco (yellow catfish), 147 nucleotides. RefSeq lists it as uncharacterized. NCBI's taxonomy places the organism in Eukaryota, Metazoa, Chordata, Actinopteri, Siluriformes, Bagridae. The transcript is spliced from 3 exons. The record is from RefSeq and is a predicted model, not a curated record.